UACGUAGGGUCCGAGCGUUGUCCGGAAUUACUGGGCGUAAAGAGCUCGUAGGUGGUUUGUCGCGUUGUCCGUGAAAACUCACAGCUCAACUGUGGGCGUGCGGGCGAUACGGGCAGACUGGAGUACUGCAGGGGAGACUGGAAUUCCUGGUGUAGCGGUGGAAUGCGCAGAUAUCAGGAGGAACACCGGUGGCGAAGGCGGGUCUCUGGGCAGUAACUGACGCUGAGGCGCGAAAGCGUGGGGAGCAAACAGG
RNAcentral lists this ribosomal RNA (253 nucleotides) under uncultured bacterium. RNAcentral describes it as "partial 16S ribosomal RNA". It matches the Rfam family "Bacterial small subunit ribosomal RNA", at positions 524 to 776 of the family's 1533-position model. The record is from RNAcentral.